AACGAACGCUGGCGGCAUGCCUAACACAUGCAAGUCGAACGAGACCUUCGGGUCUAGUGGCGCACGGGUGCGUAACGCGUGGGAACCUGCCCUUAGGUUCGGAAUAACUCCCCGAAAGGGGUGCUAAUACCGGAUAAUGUCUUCGGACCAAAGAUUUAUCGCCUUUGGAUGGGCCUGCGUUGGAUUAGCUAGUUGGUAGGGUAAAAGCCUACCAAGGCGACGAUCCAUAGCUGGUCUGAGAGGAUGAUCAGCCACACUGGGACUGAGACACGGCCCAGACUCCUACGGGAGGCAGCAGUGGGGAAUAUUGGACAAUGGGCGAAAGCCUGAUCCAGCAAUGCCGCGUGAGUGAUGAAGGCCUUAGGGUUGUAAAGCUCUUUUACCCGGGAUGAUAAUGACGGUACCGGGAGAAUAAGCUCCGGCUAACUCCGUG
RNAcentral lists this ribosomal RNA (433 nucleotides) under uncultured bacterium. Its description in RNAcentral is "partial 16S ribosomal RNA". It matches the Rfam family "Bacterial small subunit ribosomal RNA", at positions 29 to 507 of the family's 1533-position model. The record is from RNAcentral.